Molecule: long non-coding RNA, 880 nt
Organism: Nylanderia fulva
Lineage: Eukaryota; Metazoa; Arthropoda; Insecta; Hymenoptera; Formicidae
Source: RefSeq, a predicted model, not a curated record
UUGCCGGCGAUGCAGAUGACGGUGGUGGCAUCAUUGUACUGUCGGCACGACUUAAGCUCUCCAUACUAGUAUACAUAGUGCUGUUACUACCACGACGAUCAUAAGACCUGUCCAUUCACGAAUUUUAUGUAUCAAUAUAAGUUUAAAUAUUUUUAAGAUUAUUAAAAAAAAAUCAAUAUAAAUAUAUUUGUACCGAUUCAUAUAUUCUUGGCUAGGAGUAUGAGAUCUGGAACUUGGCGCCGAAUAUUGUUCAGGAGUGGUAGGUCUGAAAUUACUUGCUGUACUUUCCAAUUCCUCUGGCCUGAGUCUACCUCUUCCUCUGCUUCUCACUGGUACAGUAUUAGCCCAAUUAGAUUGUGAUGAUAAUGAUCCAGAUGGUGGCAAGUUUUGCAUUGUUUGCGAAUGCUGUAUCGUUGAUGGAUAAUUAUAACCGGAUGAAGCCUGCUAACAAUUCAUGUUUGAUGUAUGAUGUUACUUCAAUCAUUGUUUGAUAUAAUCAUUAUUUGACAUAAAUGUAUAUAAGUAUUCUCUGCAGAUGUUCCUGGGCUGUUAGGUAAUGCGUAUCCAUUAUCAAUGAGAUAUUUCUUUUGCAGCCGUGGUGGCAAAAGCUCCAACUUCAUAUUUUUCGACAAACUGUCUUUUGCAUUACGUCUGCCAGAGGGUGGUUUGCCUUGAAAUUUAUCUGAAUGUCCAAUGGGUUCCACACUGCGCGUGUCUCUUGUACGAUUAAAAUCAUUCUGAUUCGUCAUAGACAAAGGUUCAGAACCCUAAUAUAACAUAGAAAAGAAUAUUUAUUUUAAAUUAUACAAAUUGUGCAUGAGACUAUAAUUUUGAUAAGAGUACAUUAUAAUUUUAAAAUAAAUGAGAUAUGAUUUUAUAA